RNAcentral lists this ribosomal RNA (182 nucleotides) under uncultured Staphylococcus sp. Its description in RNAcentral is "partial 16S ribosomal RNA". It matches the Rfam family "Bacterial small subunit ribosomal RNA", at positions 158 to 334 of the family's 1533-position model. The record is from RNAcentral. Lineage: Bacteria; Bacillati; Bacillota; Bacilli; Caryophanales; Staphylococcaceae.
CGGAGCUAAUACCGGAUAAUAUAUUGAACCGCAUGGUUCAAUAGUGAAAGACGGUUUUGCUGUCACUUAUAGAUGGAUCCGCGCCGCAUUAGCUAGUUGGUAAGGUAACGGCUUACCAAGGCAACGAUGCGUAGCCGACCUUAGAUGGUGAUCGGCCACACUGGAACUGAGACACGGUCCAG